UACAGAGGGUGCGAGCGUUGUUCGGAAUCAUUGGGCGUAAAGGGCGUGUAGGCGGUUUGUUAAGUCAUGUGUGAAAUCCCUCGGCUCAACCGGGGAAGGACGCAUGAAACUGGCAAGCUAGAGUACCAAAGAGGGGGGUGGAAUUCCCGGUGUAGCAGUGAAAUGCGUAGAUAUCGGGAGGAACACCUGUGGCGAAGGCGGCCCCCUGGUUGGAUACUGACGCUGAUACGCGAAAGCGUGGGGAGCAAACAGG
This 253-nucleotide ribosomal RNA is filed under the name uncultured bacterium. Its description in RNAcentral is "partial 16S ribosomal RNA". It matches the Rfam family "Bacterial small subunit ribosomal RNA", at positions 524 to 776 of the family's 1533-position model. The record is from RNAcentral.